Equus caballus (horse) is the source of this 114-nucleotide non-coding RNA. The record is from Rfam. NCBI's taxonomy places the organism in Eukaryota, Metazoa, Chordata, Mammalia, Perissodactyla, Equidae.
GUGGGUUAUGGGGACAUGAAGCCCAUCACUGUGGGGGGCAAGAUCGUGGGGUCCCUGUGCGCCAUUGCGGGUGUCCUGACCAUCGCUUUGCCUGUGCCCGUCAUUGUCUCUAAC